Molecule: ribosomal RNA, 404 nt
Filed under: Actinomycetes bacterium
Lineage: Bacteria; Bacillati; Actinomycetota; Actinomycetes
Description: Actinobacteria bacterium partial 16S ribosomal RNA
Rfam family: Bacterial small subunit ribosomal RNA
Source: RNAcentral
UGGGGAAUAUUGGACAAUGGGCGCAAGCCUGAUCCAGCCAUGCCGCGUGAGUGAUGAAGGCCCUAGGGUUGUAAAGCUCUUUCACCGGUGAAGAUAAUGACGGUAACCGGAGAAGAAGCCCCGGCUAACUUCGUGCCAGCAGCCGCGGUAAUACGAAGGGGGCUAGCGUUGUUCGGAUUUACUGGGCGUAAAGCGCACGUAGGCGGACUUUUAAGUCAGGGGUGAAAUCCCGGGGCUCAACCCCGGAACUGCCUUUGAUACUGGAAGUCUUGAGUAUGGUAGAAGUGAGUGGAAUUCCGGGUGUGGAAGUGAAAUUCGUAAAUAUUCGGAGGAACACCAGUGGCGAAGGCGGCUCACUGGACCAUUACUGACGCUAAGGUGCGAAAGCGUGGGGAGCAAACAGG